Dromaius novaehollandiae (emu) is the source of this 887-nucleotide long non-coding RNA. RefSeq lists it as uncharacterized. The transcript has 5 exons. The record is from RefSeq and is a predicted model, not a curated record. NCBI's taxonomy places the organism in Eukaryota, Metazoa, Chordata, Aves, Casuariiformes, Dromaiidae.
CUCGCGCGGGGGCUACUGCAUCGCCCCCCUCGGGGGGGGGGGCGGGCGUGGUGCUCCUCGCCGCCUCGGCUGCGCCGCGCCCUCCAGCCUGGGCUCCUCGCUGCUGCCCGCGGCCCGCAGGAGUUAGAGCAGACUGCCCCCGCGGGACACGGUGCAUCCCGCCCCGGCCCUCCUACCCGCUCUGCGGGAGGGGUCGGCACACGCCGCACCCCUCCGCUACGAGGGGGGUUGGUUUGCCCCGCUCGGGACACGCUGGGAGGCGGCUGGGCGGCCUCGGCGCGCGCGAUGAGAGCAAUGGAAAUCUGCCGGCAUGAUCAGCACAUGAUGUCCCAAGAGCAUGAGCUCUAGUGCAUUUGUACGGUAUCCAUCAGUCAGGAUUUUGCUGGCAGCUCUCAAGCUCAUAGAUUCAGGCAUGUGGUGAAAUCCCCAGCAUGAAAACGGCUUGCAGGAAAAGGUUACAAAGCCCUGAUGCCCUAGCUGUCCUGCAGUUUCCUCCGUGAGCUCUCUUCAAUGGAGUGCUGAAGAAGAGGAUGCUGAGACCCAGUGCAACACAGUGGACUUCGUGGGGAAGAACUCUAAAUACAGUUCAAGAAAACCUGGAAGAGUUAGGAGUCAUGGAGAAGCUUCAAGAAGAAUCAGGGUGCUAUAUGGCACCCACUUGAAGAAUUAUUGGAACCAGCCUGAGACCAGUGGCAUUCUGUACAGAAUAAGAUUUCUCUGUAAAAAAUAGAAACCUAUAGAAAAGAUGGAAUAUUAUUAUAGAAAAGAUGGAAUAUUAAGCUUGAAAAGUCAUGUGGUGACACUCAGAAGCUGCUUUUAACUAUAUUGUGGCAGUGUAUGGCAAUGUCUAUGUAGACAAAAAAAUAAAGAUUUUUUUUUCUUUUUAA